UACGUAGGGGGCUAGCGUUGUUCGGAAUCAUUGGGCGUAAAGCGCGUGUAGGCGGCUCGGUAAGUCCGCUGUGAAAGUCGGGGGCUCAACCCUCGGAAGCCGGUGGAUACUGUCGAGCUAGAGUACGGAAGAGGCGAGUGGAAUUCCUGGUGUAGCGGUGAAAUGCGCAGAUAUCAGGAGGAACACCAAUUGCGAAGGCAGCUCGCUGGGACGUUACUGACGCUGAGACGCGAAAGCGUGGGGAGCAAACAGG
This 253-nucleotide ribosomal RNA is filed under the name uncultured bacterium. RNAcentral's name for it is "partial 16S ribosomal RNA". It matches the Rfam family "Bacterial small subunit ribosomal RNA", at positions 524 to 776 of the family's 1533-position model. The record is from RNAcentral.